This 71-nucleotide transfer RNA is filed under the name Gammaproteobacteria bacterium TMED180. RNAcentral's name for it is "tRNA-Gly". It matches the Rfam family "tRNA". From Rfam's summary of the family: Transfer RNA (tRNA) molecules are approximately 80 nucleotides in length. RNAcentral also lists the same sequence under 1 other name. Lineage: Bacteria; Pseudomonadati; Pseudomonadota; Gammaproteobacteria. The record is from RNAcentral.
GCGGAUAUCGUACAAGGGUAGUACCUUAGCCUUCCAAGCUAAAGAUGCGGGUUCGAGUCCCGCUAUCCGCU